CCUACGGGAGGCAGCAGUGAGGAAUAUUGGUCAAUGGCCGAGAGGCUGAACCAGCCAAGUCGCGUGAGGGAAGACGGCCCUACGGGUUGUAAACCUCUUUUGUCGGGGAGCAAAGCGAGUCACGUGUGACUCAUUGAGAGUACCCGAAGAAAAAGCAUUGGCUAACUCCGUGCCAGCAGCCGCGGUAAUACGGAGGAUGCGAGCGUUAUCCGGUUUGAUUGGGGUUAAAGGGUGCGCAGGGGGAGGUGCAAGUCAGCGGGAAAAUUUCGGGGCUCAACCCCGUACUGCCGUUGAAACUGCAUCCCUUGAGUGCGCGAGAAGUAUGCGGAAUGCGUGGUGUAGCGGUGAAAGGCAUAGAUAUCACGCAGAACUCCGAUUGCGAAGGCAGCAUACCGGCGCGCAACUGACGCUCAUGCACGAAAGCGUGGGUAUCGAACAGGAUUAGAACCCUUGUAGUC
Molecule: ribosomal RNA, 458 nt
Filed under: uncultured bacterium
Lineage: Bacteria
Description: partial 16S ribosomal RNA
Rfam family: Bacterial small subunit ribosomal RNA
Source: RNAcentral